UCCUAGAUUUCUCUUCAGUACAGUUGCAAAACUUACCCAGAGUUGAUCCAUCCAUUCCCUUAGCUCUUGGCAGUUGAUUUGAUGCUGUGUGUUAUAUCUGAAAUCUUGGUUCUUCAAUUCUUACCACAUUUAUCCAGUUUUUCUGGGAUUUUUGUUCUUUGUUUUUGCUUCUUCUGUAGCUGGUGAUACAUCUCUACAAGUUUCUCACAUAAAGCUCUAAAAAUAAGGAGCAUCAGGGCCGUGAAAGCACCAUGAAUGUGUAAAAACAUUUUGAUAAUUCUAAAAGUGUUUAACAUAGAAACAUUUAAUUGUUAAGAUUUCCUACUUUAAUGGGUUCUUCUGUGAUCUUAACAAAAGAGUCAUAAUUCUUACAAUCUGAACUAAAGAGUUAAACAGGCGAUAACUGUAUUUCCUGUUAACUAAAGAAAAACCUUCAUCAAAACAAGCUGCCACACCACCACAGAACAGAGGAAGGGGAGGGUUUACCUCAGUGACAAAAGACUCGUCUUGAUUUCACAGAAUCACUGAGGAACAAUGAGAGCGACAUCCUCGACAUGGCUGUUCUUGUUGACAUCAGAACUUCUCUGGACAAGAAACCAAGCUGGUGUGACUGUGAGUCCCAGCAGAUCUCAGUUCUUUGAAGGAGACUCUGUGUCUCUGAGCUGUGAGGAGGACAACAGCUCUGCUGGAUGGACUGUGAGGAGGAACACAACCACAGAAACCAGGACUCAGUGUGAUGAAUGGGGCGAAGCUACUAACUCUUCAUGUACCUUCACUGGUGUCAUCACAGCAGACAGUGGAGAGUACUGGUGUGAGUGGAGAGAGGGAGCAGCCAGCAGCA
Molecule: long non-coding RNA, 841 nt
Organism: Fundulus heteroclitus (mummichog)
Lineage: Eukaryota; Metazoa; Chordata; Actinopteri; Cyprinodontiformes; Fundulidae
Exons: 3
Source: RefSeq, a predicted model, not a curated record